RNAcentral lists this ribosomal RNA (487 nucleotides) under uncultured bacterium. RNAcentral's name for it is "bacterial SSU rRNA". It matches the Rfam family "Bacterial small subunit ribosomal RNA", at positions 28 to 507 of the family's 1533-position model. The record is from RNAcentral.
GAUGAACGCUAGCGGGAGGCUUAACACAUGCAAGUCGAGGGGCAUCACGAGGUAGCAAUACUCUGAUGGCGACCGGCAAACGGGUGAGUAACGCGUAUGCAACCUACCCUGUACAGGGGGAUAACCCGGAGAAAUUCGGACUAAUAUCCCGUAAUAAUAUCCGGAGGCAUCUUUGGAUAUUUAAAGUUCCGACGGUACGGGAUGGGCAUGCGUAACAUUAACUGGUUGGUAAGGUAACGGCUUACCAAGGCUAUGAUGUUUAGGGGUCCUGAGAGGGUGGUCCCCCACACUGGUACUGAGACACGGACCAGACUCCUACGGGAGGCAGCAGUGAGGAAUAUUGGUCAAUGGGCGCAAGCCUGAACCAGCCAUCCCGCGUGCAGGAAGACGGCCCUAUGGGUUGUAAACUGCUUUUCCAGGGAGAGAAACUUACGCACGUGUUGCGUGACUGACGGUACCCUGGGAAUAAGCAUCGGCUAACUCCGUG